AGAACGAACGCUGGCGGCAUGCCUAAUACAUGCAAGUCGAACGAACACUUCGGUGUUAGUGGCGCACGGGUGCGUAACGCGUGGGAAUCUGCCCUUGGGUUCGGAAUAACAGUUGGAAACGACUGCUAAUACCGGAUGAUGACGAAAGUCCAAAGAUUUAUCGCCCAGGGAUGAGCCCGCGUAGGAUUAGCUAGUUGGUGAGGUAAAGGCUCACCAAGGCAACGAUCCUUAGCUGGUCUGAGAGGAUGAUCAGCCACACUGGGACUGAGACACGGCCCAGACUCCUACGGGAGGCAGCAGUAGGGAAUAUGGACAAGUGGGCGAAAGCCUGAUCCAGCAAUCGCCGCGUGAGUGAUGAAGGCCGUUAGGGUUAGUAAAGUCUUACUUUACCCGAGAUGAUAAUGACAGUAGCGGAAGAAGUAACGCCCGGACUAACCGUCCGU
RNAcentral lists this ribosomal RNA (443 nucleotides) under uncultured soil bacterium. Its description in RNAcentral is "bacterial SSU rRNA". It matches the Rfam family "Bacterial small subunit ribosomal RNA", at positions 26 to 508 of the family's 1533-position model. The record is from RNAcentral.